CCUACGGGGGGCAGCAGUGAGGAAUAUUGGUCAAUGGACGAGAGUCUGAACCAGCCAAGUAGCGUGAAGGAUGACUGCCCUAUGGGUUGUAAACUUCUUUUAUAUGGGAAUAAAACGUUCCACGUGUGGGAUUUUGUAUGUACCAUAUGAAUAAGGAUCGACUAACUCCGUGCCAGCAGCCGCGGUAAUACGGAGGAUCCGAGCGUUAUCCGGAUUUAUUGGGUUUAAAGGGAGCGUAGGUGGAUUGUUAAGUCAGUUGUGAAAGUUUGCGGCUCAACCGGAAAAUUGCAGUUGAGACUGGCAGUCUUGAGUACAGUAGAGGUGGGCGGAAUUCGUGGUGUAGCGGUGAAAUGCUUAGAUAUCACGAAGAACUCCGAUUGCGAAGGCAGUUCACUGGACUGCAACUGACACUGAGGCUCGAAAGUGUGGGUAUCAAACAGGAUUAGAUACCCGAGUAGUC
Molecule: ribosomal RNA, 460 nt
Filed under: uncultured bacterium
Lineage: Bacteria
Description: partial 16S ribosomal RNA
Rfam family: Bacterial small subunit ribosomal RNA
Source: RNAcentral